AUUGAACGCUGGCGGCAUGCCUUACACAUGCAAGUCGAACGGCAGCACGGGAGCAAUCCUGGUGGCGAGUGGCGAACGGGUGAGUAAAGUAUCGGAACGUGCCCAGUCGUGGGGGAUAACGUAGCGAAAGUUGCGCUAAUACCGCAUACGAUCUAUGGAUGAAAGCGGGGGAUCGCAAGACCUAGCGCGAUUGGAGCGGCCGAUAUCAGAUUAGGUAGUUGGUGGGGUAAAGGCUCACCAAGCCGACGAUCUGUAGCUGGUCUGAGAGGACGACCAGCCACACUGGGACUGAGACACGGCCCAGACUCCUACGGGAGGCAGCAGUGGGGAAUUUUGGACAAUGGGCAAAAGCCUGAUCCAGCCAUGCCGCGUGCAGGAUGAAGGCCUUCGGGUUGUAAAUUGCUUUUGUACGGAACGAAAAGGUUUGGCCUAAUAAGCUGAGCUCAUGACGGUACCGUAAGAAUAAGCACCGGCUAACUACGUGCCAGCAGCCGCCGUAA
Molecule: ribosomal RNA, 500 nt
Filed under: uncultured bacterium
Lineage: Bacteria
Description: partial 16S ribosomal RNA
Rfam family: Bacterial small subunit ribosomal RNA
Source: RNAcentral